This 903-nucleotide ribosomal RNA is filed under the name Triticum aestivum (bread wheat). RNAcentral describes it as "partial small subunit ribosomal RNA". Lineage: Eukaryota; Viridiplantae; Streptophyta; Magnoliopsida; Poales; Poaceae. The record is from RNAcentral.
AUGUACAGGUGGUGGAAUAAUCUGCAAGUUCAUUCAAGGCUCCCGUUCGCUCGGGAUAGACUCGUGGAAUGUUAUUUGUGGAUGUUGGGAGUAUACUACCAACCCAACUGUUCACGGGGCCGAAUAAUACUUACGUUCGUGAUUUACACUACAACCAUCAUCGAUGAUAUUUAUGAUUCAUUUGGAACAUCAGAAGAGUGUGAAUUGUUUACCGAGUGGGUAGAAAGUUGGGAUCCAAAGGUAGCUCAUGUUCUCCCAAAGUGCAUGCAAUAUGCAUUGGAAAAAAUUAUGGACUGCCAUCAGAUCAUUGAUAACAAGCUAGCACCGGAGGAUAAAUACCGUAUGACCUACCUCAGAAACUUUACAGUGGAUCUAGUUAGAAAUUACAACAAAGAGGUUAAAAUGCGCGAAGAGAACUUCAUCCCAAGAUCUGUCGAAGAGCAUCUUCAGGUCUCGGCAAGGACUUGUGCAUGCCAUUUGUUGGCUUGCACUUCACUGGUCGGAAUGGAUGAUAUAGCAACAAAGGAUUCUUUUGAAUGGAUUUCGACUGUGCCUAAAAUUGUGCAGAAGCUUUGCAUAAUUGUUAGACUAUUAGAUGAUAUCAUGACCUAUGAGCGAGAGCAGAUGACGCCUCAUGUUGCUUCGACAAUGGAUAGCUACAUGAAACAACACAAUGUCUCGAUUGAAAUAGCACGUCACAAGAUACAAGAGCUAAAGGAGGAGUCAUGGAAAGAUUUCAAUGGUGAGUGGCUAGAGCCUGAUAUUGACCAACCGAGGAAGUUAAUUGAGGCGAUAUUUAACCUCACAAGAACAAUGGAGUUCAUGUAUAACAAAGACGAUAACUUUACUAACUGUAGCAACCUCAAGGAUAUCAUCCAAUCAUUAUUUGUGGAGACUUUUUGA